This 1228-nucleotide ribosomal RNA is filed under the name metagenome. Its description in RNAcentral is "bacterial LSU rRNA". It matches the Rfam family "Bacterial large subunit ribosomal RNA", at positions 1564 to 2800 of the family's 2925-position model. The record is from RNAcentral.
UGAGUGCGAGCUGCUACGGCAGCGAAGUUGGUGACGUCAAGCUUCCAAGAAAAGCCCUAUACCCGUUAAGGCAUCAUGGCCUGUACCCGAAACCGACACAGGUGGGGUGGUAGAGAAUACCGAGGGGCGCGAGGUAACUCUCUCUAAGGAACUCGGCAAAAUGGCCCCGUAACUUCGGGAGAAGGGGUGCCACCGCAAGGUGGUCGCAGUGAAGAGGCCCAGGCGACUGUUUACCAAAAACACAGGUCUCCGCUAAGUCGCAAGACGAUGUAUGGGGGCUGACGCCUGCCCAGUGCCGGAAGGUUAAGGAAGCUGGUCAGCGCAAGCGAAGCUGGCGACUGAAGCCCCGGUGAACGGCGGCCGUAACUAUAACGGUCCUAAGGUAGCGAAAUUCCUUGUCGGGUAAGUUCCGACCCGCACGAAAGGCGUAACGAUCUGGGCGCUGUCUCGGAGAGAGGCUCGGCGAAAUAGAAUUGUCUGUGAAGAUGCGGACUACGUGCACCCGGACAGAAAGACCCUAUGAAGCUUUACUGUAGCUUGGUAUUGUGCCCGGGCUCUGAAUGCGCAGGAUAGGUGGGAGGCUUUGAUCAUCGGCUUGCGGGUCGAUGUGAGCCAACGGUGAGAUACCACUCUUUCAGAGCUAGGGUUCUAACAGUCACCCGUUAUCCGGGGACUGGACAGUAUCAGGUGGGCAGUUUGACUGGGGCGGUCGCCUCCUAAAAGGUAACGGAGGCGCGCAAAGGUCUGCUCAGGCUGGUUGGAAAUCAGCCGACGAGUGUAAAAGCAGAAGCAGGCUUGACUGUGAGACCUACAAGUCGAACAGGGAGGAAACUCGGCUUUAGUGAUCCGACGGUUCUGCGUGGAAGGGCCGUCGCUCAACGGAUAAAAGUUACUCUAGGGAUAACAGGCUGGUCUCCCCCAAGAGUUCACAUCGACGGGGAGGUUUGGCACCUCGAUGUCGGCUCAUCGCAACCUGGGGCUGAAGUCGGUCCCAAGGGUUGGGCUGUUCGCCCAUUAAAGCGGUACGCGAGCUGGGUUCAGAACGUCGUGAGACAGUUCGGUCCAUAUCCGGUGCAUGCGCAGGAAUAUUGAGAGGAGUUCUCCCUAGUAUGAGAGGACCGGGAGGAACGCACCUCUGGUGUACCAGUUAUCGUGCCAACGGUAAACGCUGGGUAGCCAUGUGCGGAGAGGAUAACCGCUGAAAGCAUCUAAGUGGGAAUCCCACCUC